UUUGCAAGGGGGAAUGGCGUCCGGGUUCCACCCACAGGAUUGCAAGAAGGCACUGGCUGGUAUCAAGAAUGUAUUUGUUGACAUAUGCAAUCAAUCUGAAAUGCUUUUUAUGUCUAAAUUUUUACAAGGAACUCAAGGUAGAUUGUAUUCUGCUUGCUGGUUACUUAAUUUAUGUUCUUGUUGAGCUUGUUCAGGCGUAUCAAAGAUCAAUCCUGAAUAUCCACCCUUCUUUGCUCCCAGCAUUCAGAUUCAAAGUUUAUUAUGGUUUGAAGACGCAUAAAGCAGUCAUUGCAUCUUUUUUUCUCACACACUUCUUUUUUUCCUUCGAACACCAGCAGUUAGUGCAUCUGGAGCAAGGUACAUUACAAUCUGUAAAUGCCCACUAUUAUUUUAAAGUAAAGUGACAUCUUAGAGUUACCUCCAAUAGUCCACUUUAUAUGUUGCACACUGUAAUGGGAAUAUUGGUGUAACUGUUUUACAAUGUAUGAUUAAGUUGGUUUUUUUCUAUUGUAUUUAUGCUAAACCAUUAAUUCUAUUUAACUUCUAGAAGAGUUUAUUCUUUAAACCUGAUCAUAAUUCCCUAUAAUUUGCAGGUACUCAGGACCUACUGUGCACUUUGAUGAGCAUAAUGACACAGGGAUAACUCUAACCCAAAGAAUUGUGCCUAUGUUAGCCAAUGAUACCAGUGAGCAAUUGCCUGCUAAAAUCCUUAAUAAGGAGCAUCUUGUUUAUGUUGAGGCAGUUCCUUCCCUGUGUGAUGACCAACUUGUGUGGCGUGAAGAUGGUGUUCCUCUAAACAGAAGCCAUACAGAUCCAGAUGAGUGCACCUAAUUCAUUAUAUUGUUCCAUGGACUGCUGAACACCAGGAAAUGAGGCUUGUAGAACUGAUACUGUUUGGGAAAAAUAACAUGUUUAUACUCUGACAACAAAAACACGAUGCCUUGCUCGUUUUCAAAUGACACGUUGUGUGGCUUGCCAUCUCUUCAACUAUAAUUUAUUGUUGUAUGCCUUAACUAGACAAGAGCAGAGCUUCAUGGAGCUUCGCCCUUCCCUUAGUACAGUUGCACUUUACAGUUUCAUGUUAUCAUUUGAGGAGGCUUGCUGCCAUGUAUGGCUACUGCCAAAUCAAUUGUAGAGGAUAGUGAAUCUGGUUGUAUGCAGAAAACUUCCGACAAGUGUUCCACCUAACGAGCUUUCCAUAUCCUAUUUUCCUUCUUAAUUCUACAGAUGUUAACACUUAGCACCAGUGAUGUUUUUUCUUAGGUGCUGUGUUGUUUCUUCAAUUGUAAUAAUGUAGCUUUUGUGAGAGGGAUAGAAGAAGGGGGUGGUGCAAAUGGUAGCCAUUCUUUGCGAACCCUCUCGAACAGAAAGGUUCUGUGGCGUCUUCGGACAUAGAUAUGACAUUGCUGUCUCUAUCCAAGUUGCCUCAACUAGCUUUGGAUGAAGGCUUCGUCUAUCCUUCUUCCUCCCUUGUUCCUGCCGCUAAUCUUGGACCAUACGAUUCCUUCACGUUCACACCUCAUUUUCCACUCAAAGUCUCGUGUAUCGACUUGUGAUUACUGAGUGUUAGUUCAGGAGGGUUGCUAACAUGGCCCCUGUGGAUCUGUCAAAUUGCAGCGCUGCCAUGCCGCGGCGCUUCAGUUUGAACUCCGAACAUGAACCCUCUCGGCGGUGCUCGCCAGUCAGCACAACACAAGCUCAGGACAUUGGCUGAUGGAAGGCUGGCGGGCGCCAUCAUCCCUGACACUUACUAGCAUUGCUAGCCCUCGGUUUCUGGGGUUCAGAAAAAAAUUCACAUUGGCACCAAUGGUAAGUGGACUUUGCUAACAGAACGAAGCAAGAUAACCGUCCAGGCAAGAUGCACAGUGGAGAAAAGAAAAGCGAAAUGAUCCACGAGCAUGAUCUGCAAUGGAGAAAAGUCUACUGGUCAUCCAGGCAGGAGAGGCAGGUGUCCUCAUCACUAAGGCUGUAAGGCAAGCAGGAUUUCUUUUCUCAGUUGCAAUUUGCAUAAACUAUUGUACUUUGCUGAUGCACACACAAGCCUCAAGAAAACAAUAAUUAUGGCAUUACCCCAUGAUUACGGAGACACAAACAUUACUCUCUGGUCGUUUAACUUCGUGUU
Molecule: long non-coding RNA, 2122 nt
Organism: Panicum hallii
Lineage: Eukaryota; Viridiplantae; Streptophyta; Magnoliopsida; Poales; Poaceae
Exons: 3
Source: RefSeq, a predicted model, not a curated record